Non-coding RNA from Ktedonobacter sp. 13_2_20CM_2_56_8, 74 nucleotides. The record is from Rfam. NCBI's taxonomy places the organism in Bacteria, Bacillati, Chloroflexota, Ktedonobacteria, Ktedonobacterales, Ktedonobacteraceae.
GAUCCCGUAGCUCAGUUGGAUAGAGCGACAGUUUGCGGAACUGUAGGUCGUAGGUUCAAAUCCUAUCGGGAUCG